UUGUUACUGCGAAGGGGGGACGGAGAAGGCUAUGUUGGCCGGGCGACGGUUGUCCCGGUUUAAGCGUGUAGGCUGGUUUUCCAGGCAAAUCCGGAAAAUCAAGGCUGAGGCGUGAUGACGAGGCACUACGGUGCUGAAGCAACAAAUGCCCUGCUUCCAGGAAAAGCCUCUAAGCAUCAGGUAACAUCAAAUCGUACCCCAAACCGACACAGGUGGUCAGGUAGAGAAUACCAAGGCGCUUGAGAGAACUCGGGUGAAGGAACUAGACAAAAUGGUGCCGUAACUUCGGGAGAAGGCACGCUGAUAUGUAGGUGAAGCGACUUGCUCGUGGAGCUGAAAUCAGUCGAAGAUACCAGCUGGCUGCAACUGUUUAUUAAAAACACAGCACUGUGCAAACACGAAAGUGGACGUAUACGGUGUGACGCCUGCCCGGUGCCGGAAGGUUAAUUGAUGGGGUCAGCGCAAGCGAAGCUCUUGAUCGAAGCCCCGGUAAACGGCGGCCGUAACUAUAACGGUCCUAAGGUAGCGAAAUUCCUUGUCGGGUAAGUUCCGACCUGCACGAAUGGCGUAAUGAUGGCCAGGCUGUCUCCACCCGAGACUCAGUGAAAUUGAACUCGCUGUGAAGAUGCAGUGUACCCGCGGCAAGAUGGAAAGACCCCGUGAACCUUUACUAUAGCUUGACACUGAACAUUGAGCCUUGAUGUGUAGGAUAGGUGGGAGGCUUUGAAGUGUGGACGCCAGUCUGCAUGGAGCCGACCUUGAAAUACCACCCUUUAAUGUUUGAUGUUCUAACGUGGACCCGUGAUCCGGGUUGCGGACAGUGUCUGGUGGGUAGUUUGACUGGGGCGGUCUCCUCCUAAAGAGUAACGGAGGAGCACGAAGGUUGGCUAAUCCUGGUCGGACAUCAGGAGGUUAGUGCAAUGGCAUAAGCCAGCUUGACUGCGAGCGUGACGGCGCGAGCAGGUGCGAAAGCAGGUCAUAGUGAUCCGGUGGUUCUGAAUGGAAGGGCCAUCGCUCAACGGAUAAAAGGUACUCCGGGGAUAACAGGCUGAUACCGCCCAAGAGUUCAUAUCGACGGCGGUGUUUGGCACCUCGAUGUCGGCUCAUCACAUCCUGGAGCUGAAGUAGGUCCCAAGGGUAUGGCUGUUCGCCAUUUAAAGUGGUACGCGAGCUGGGUUUAGAACGUCGUGAGACAGUUCGGUCCCUAUCUGCCGUGGGCGCUGGAGAACUGAGGGGGGCUGCUCCUAGUACGAGAGGACCGGAGUGGACGCAUCACUGGUGUUCGGGUUGUCAUGCCAAUGGCACUGCCCGGUAGCUAAAUGCGGAAGAGAUAAGUGCUGAAAGCAUCUAAGCACGAAACUUGCCCCGAGAUGAGUUCUCCCUGACUCCUUGAGAGUCCUGAAGGAACGUUGAAGACGACGACGUUGAUAAGCCGGGUGUGUAAGCGCAGCGAUGCGUUGAGCUAACCGGUACUAAUGAACCGUGAGGCUUAACCU
Molecule: ribosomal RNA, 1496 nt
Filed under: metagenome
Description: bacterial LSU rRNA
Rfam family: Bacterial large subunit ribosomal RNA
Source: RNAcentral